GGCGCACGUAGGGGGUGGCGCCCUCCCUUUGGGCAUAGGGGGCGAGGAGGAAGCCCUCCCGGUGGGGGGGGAUGGCCGCCACCGUGCGCCCC
RNAcentral lists this transfer RNA (92 nucleotides) under Thermus brockianus. RNAcentral's name for it is "tRNA-Ala". The record is from RNAcentral. Lineage: Bacteria; Thermotogati; Deinococcota; Deinococci; Thermales; Thermaceae.